AAAAUCCGUCGACUUUAGAAAUCGUGAGGGUU
This 32-nucleotide transfer RNA is filed under the name Rosa woodsii. RNAcentral's name for it is "partial tRNA-Leu". Lineage: Eukaryota; Viridiplantae; Streptophyta; Magnoliopsida; Rosales; Rosaceae. RNAcentral also lists the same sequence under 16 other names. The record is from RNAcentral.